RNAcentral lists this ribosomal RNA (491 nucleotides) under uncultured bacterium. Its description in RNAcentral is "partial 16S ribosomal RNA". It matches the Rfam family "Bacterial small subunit ribosomal RNA", at positions 29 to 506 of the family's 1533-position model. The record is from RNAcentral.
AGUGAACGCUGGCGGUAGGCCUAACACAUGCAAGUCGAACGGCAGCACAGUAAGAGCUUGCUCUUACGGGUGGCGAGUGGCGGACGGGUGAGGAAUACAUCGGAAUCUACUUUUUCGUGGGGGAUAACGUAGGGAAACUUACGCUAAUACCGCAUACGACCUACGGGUGAAAGCAGGGGAUCUUCGGACCUUGCGCGAUUGAAUGAGCCGAUGUCGGAUUAGCUAGUUGGCGGGGUAAAGGCCCACCAAGGCGACGAUCCGUAGCUGGUCUGAGAGGAUGAUCAGCCACACUGGAACUGAGACACGGUCCAGACUCCUACGGGAGGCAGCAGUGGGGAAUAUUGGACAAUGGGCGCAAGCCUGAUCCAGCCAUACCGCGUGGGUGAAGAAGGCCUUCGGGUUGUAAAGCCCUUUUGUUGGGAAAGAAGAGCAGCAGGUUAAUACCCCGCUGUUCUGACGGGACCCAAAGAAUAAGCACCGGCUAACUUCGU